AACGAACGCUGGCGGCAUGCCUAACACAUGCAAGUCGAGCGAGGACUUCGGUCCUAGCGGCGGACGGGUGAGUAACGCGUGGGAACGUGCCCUUUGCUUCGGAAUAGCUCUGGGAAACUGGGAGUAAUACCGGAUGAGCCCUUUGGGGGAAAGAUUUAUCGGCGAAGGAUCGGCCCGCGUUGGAUUAGGUAGUUGGUUGGGUAAUGGCCUACCAAGCCGACGAUCCAUAGCUGGUUUGAGAGGAUGAUCAGCCACACUGGGACUGAGACACGGCCCAGACUCCUACGGGAGGCAGCAGUGGGGAAUCUUAGAAAAUGGGGGAAACCCUGAUCUAGCCAUGCCGCGUGAGCGAUGAAGGCCUUAGGGUUGUAAAGCUCUUUCAGCUGGGAAGAUAAUGACGGUACCAGCAGAAGAAGCCCCGGCUAACUCCGUG
Molecule: ribosomal RNA, 433 nt
Filed under: uncultured bacterium
Lineage: Bacteria
Description: partial 16S ribosomal RNA
Rfam family: Bacterial small subunit ribosomal RNA
Source: RNAcentral